GGAGGCAGCAGUGGGGAAUUUUCCGCAAUGGGCGAAAGCCUGACGGAGCAACGCCGCGUGAGGGAGGAAGGUCUUUGGAUUGUAAACCUCUUUUCUCAAGGAAGAAGUUCUGACGGUACUUGAGGAAUCAGCCUCGGCUAACUCCGUGCCAGCAGCCGCGGUAAUACGGGGGAGGCAAGCGUUAUCCGGAAUUAUUGGGCGUAAAGCGUCCGCAGGUGGUCAGCCAAGUCUGCCGUCAAAUCAGGUUGCUUAACGACCUAAAGGCGGUGGAAACUGGCAGACUAGAGAGCAGUAGGGGUAGCAGGAAUUCCCAGUGUAGCGGUGAAAUGCGUAGAGAUUGGGAAGAACAUCGGUGGCGAAAGCGUGCUACUGGGCUGUAUCUGACACUCAGGGACGAAAGCUAGGGGAGCGAAAGGGAUUAGAUACCCCUGUAGUCCUAGCCGUAAACGAUGGAUACUAGGCGUGGCUUGU
This 471-nucleotide ribosomal RNA is filed under the name Microcystis aeruginosa. RNAcentral's name for it is "bacterial SSU rRNA". It matches the Rfam family "Bacterial small subunit ribosomal RNA", at positions 344 to 830 of the family's 1533-position model. Lineage: Bacteria; Bacillati; Cyanobacteriota; Cyanophyceae; Chroococcales; Microcystaceae. The record is from RNAcentral.